This 322-nucleotide unclassified non-coding RNA is filed under the name fungal sp. RNAcentral's name for it is "partial contains small subunit ribosomal RNA, internal transcribed spacer 1, and 5.8S ribosomal RNA". The stretch from base 1 to 47 matches the Rfam family "Eukaryotic small subunit ribosomal RNA", at positions 1785 to 1831 of the family's 1831-position model. Lineage: Eukaryota; Fungi. The record is from RNAcentral.
AAAGUCGUAACAAGGUAACCGUAGGUGAACCUGCGGUUGGAUCAUUAAAAAAAACUUUGUUAAAGUGGAAAGCGUCGAAUGGGCACACAAAACCCUUCAGGAUUGUACAAAAUCCGCUUUUCACUUUUCCAAAAUACACCUUGUGUGAACUUGAACCUGGUAUUUGGUGGGAUGCAAAAGCAGCAGUUGCCACCUGGCAAGUGCUGUUGCGUAUCUCAGCAAAUACCUUUUUUCUAGACUUUAUGUUCUGAAUUAUUUAAGCCUGACAUUUUAUCUGUAUAAAUAUACAAAACAACUUUUGGCAACGGAUCUCUUGGCUCUC